This 158-nucleotide transfer-messenger RNA is filed under the name Verrucomicrobiota bacterium. RNAcentral describes it as "partial transfer-messenger RNA". It matches the Rfam family "transfer-messenger RNA", at positions 1 to 163 of the family's 374-position model. Rfam says of the family: Bacterial tmRNA, also known as 10Sa RNA or SsrA, is named for its dual tRNA and mRNA-like properties. Its role is to liberate the mRNA from a stalled ribosome. To accomplish this part of the tmRNA is used as a reading frame that ends in a translation stop signal. The record is from RNAcentral. Lineage: Bacteria; Pseudomonadati; Verrucomicrobiota.
GGGGGCGCACUGGUUUCGACUCGUUGUUUGAAAACGCAGGCGGCAUGUCGAGGAUGGUUCGUUGGCCUCGUUAAAAUCCGGACCAAAAAAAAUAAACGCAGAUCACCAAGAUCUCGCUCUCGCGGCUUAAUUGACCGUGAUGUUCGGAGCUGGACGCC